Molecule: ribosomal RNA, 439 nt
Filed under: uncultured bacterium
Lineage: Bacteria
Description: bacterial SSU rRNA
Rfam family: Bacterial small subunit ribosomal RNA
Source: RNAcentral
CUACGGGAGGCAGCAGUGGGGAAUUUUGCGCAAUGGAGGCAACUCUGACGCAGCAACGCCGCGUGCGGGAUGAAGGCCCUCGGGUUGUAAACCGCUUUCAGCAGGGAAGACUUCGACUGUACCUGCAGAAGAAGCCCCGGCUAACUACGUGCCAGCAGCCGCGGUAAUACGUAGGGGGCGAGCGUUAUCCGGAUUCAUUGGGCGUAAAGCGCGCGUAGGCGGCUCGCCAAGCGGGAUCUCAAACCUGAGGGCUCAACCCCCAGCAGGAUCCCGGACUGGCGGGCUCGAGUUCGGUAGGGGAAGGCGGAACUCCCAGUGUAGCGGUGAAAUGCGCAGAUAUUGGGAGGAACACCGAUGGCGAAGGCAGCCUUCUGGGCCGUAACUGACGCUGAGGUGCGAAAGCUAGGGGAGCGAACAGGAUUAGAAACCCUGGUAGUCC